AAAUUGAAGAGUUUGAUCAUGGCUCAGAUUGAACGCUGGCGGCAGGCCUAACACAUGCAAGUCGAGCGGUAGCACAGAGAGCUUGCUCUCGGGUGACGAGCGGCGGACGGGUGAGUAAUGUCUGGGAAACUGCCUGAUGGAGGGGGAUAACUACUGGAAACGGUAGCUAAUACCGCAUAACGUCGCAAGACCAAAGUGGGGGACCUUCGGGCCUCAUGCCAUCAGAUGUGCCCAGAUGGGAUUAGCUAGUAGGUGGGGUAAUGGCUCACCUAGGCGACGAUCCCUAGCUGGUCUGAGAGGAUGACCAGCCACACUGGAACUGAGACACGGUCCAGACUCCUACGGGAGGCAGCAGUGGGGAAUAUUGCACAAUGGGCGCAAGCCUGAUGCAGCCAUGCCGCGUGUAUGAAGAAGGCCUUCGGGUUGUAAAGUACUUUCAGCGAGGAGGAAGGCGUUAAGGUUAAUAACCUUAGCGAUUGACGUUACUCGCAGAAGAAGCACCGGCUAACUCCGUGCCAGCAGCCGCGGUAAUACGGAGGGUGCAAGCGUUAAUCGGAAUUACUGGGCGUAAAGCGCACGCAGGCGGUCUGUCAAGUCGGAUGUGAAAUCCCCGGGCUCAACCUGGGAACUGCAUUCGAAACUGGCAGGCUAGAGUCUUGUAGAGGGGGGUAGAAUUCCAGGUGUAGCGGUGAAAUGCGUAGAGAUCUGGAGGAAUACCGGUGGCGAAGGCGGCCCCCUGGACAAAGACUGACGCUCAGGUGCGAAAGCGUGGGGAGCAAACAGGAUUAGAUACCCUGGUAGUCCACGCCGUAAACGAUGUCGACUUGGAGGUUGUGCCCUUGAGGCGUGGCUUCCGGAGCUAACGCGUUAAGUCGACCGCCUGGGGAGUACGGCCGCAAGGUUAAAACUCAAAUGAAUUGACGGGGGCCCGCACAAGCGGUGGAGCAUGUGGUUUAAUUCGAUGCAACGCGAAGAACCUUACCUA
This 985-nucleotide ribosomal RNA is filed under the name Klebsiella aerogenes. RNAcentral describes it as "bacterial SSU rRNA". It matches the Rfam family "Bacterial small subunit ribosomal RNA", at positions 1 to 977 of the family's 1533-position model. Lineage: Bacteria; Pseudomonadati; Pseudomonadota; Gammaproteobacteria; Enterobacterales; Enterobacteriaceae. The record is from RNAcentral.